This 504-nucleotide ribosomal RNA is filed under the name uncultured bacterium. RNAcentral's name for it is "partial 16S ribosomal RNA". It matches the Rfam family "Bacterial small subunit ribosomal RNA", at positions 29 to 523 of the family's 1533-position model. The record is from RNAcentral.
AUUGAACGCUGGCGGCAGGCCUAACACAUGCAAGUCGAACGGUAGCACAGAGAGCUUGCCCUCGGGUGACGAGUGGCGGACGGGUGAGUAAUGUCUGGGGAUCUGCCCGAUAGAGGGGGAUAACCACUGGAAACGGUGGCUAAUACCGCAUAACGUCGCAAGACCAAAGAGGGGGACCUUCGGGCCUCUCACUAUCGGAUGAACCCAGAUGGGAUUAGCUAGUAGGCGGGGUAACGGCCCACCUAGGCGACGAUCCCUAGCUGGUCUGAGAGGAUGACCAGCCACACUGGAACUGAGACACGGUCCAGACUCCUACGGGAGGCAGCAGUGGGGAAUAUUGCACAAUGGGCGCAAGCCUGAUGCAGCCAUGCCGCGUGUAUGAAGAAGGCCUUCGGGUUGUAAAGUACUUUCAGCGGGGAGGAAGGCGAUAAGGUUAAUAACCUUGUCGAUUGACGUCACCCGCAGAAGAAGCACCGGCUAACUCCGUGCCAGCCGCCGCUGUAA